This 253-nucleotide ribosomal RNA is filed under the name uncultured bacterium. Its description in RNAcentral is "partial 16S ribosomal RNA". It matches the Rfam family "Bacterial small subunit ribosomal RNA", at positions 524 to 776 of the family's 1533-position model. The record is from RNAcentral. RNAcentral also lists the same sequence under 1 other name.
GACGAACCGAGCGAACGUUGUUCGGAAUCACUGGGCUUAAAGGGCGCGUAGGCGGGUGCUCAAGUCCGGGGUGAAAUCCUCCAGCUCAACUGGAGAACUGCCUCGGAUACUGGGUGCCUCGAGGGUGGUAGGGGUAUGCGGAACUAUCGGUGGAGCGGUGAAAUGCGUUGAUAUCGAUAGGAACUCCGGUGGCGAAGGCGGCAUACUGGACCACUUCUGACGCUGAGGCGCGAAAGCCAGGGGAGCAAACGGG